This 482-nucleotide ribosomal RNA is filed under the name uncultured bacterium. RNAcentral's name for it is "partial 16S ribosomal RNA". It matches the Rfam family "Bacterial small subunit ribosomal RNA", at positions 30 to 507 of the family's 1533-position model. The record is from RNAcentral.
AUUGAACGCUGGCGGCAUGCUUUACACAUGCAAGUCGAACGGUAACAGGCCGCAAGGUGCUGACGAGUGGCGAACGGGUGAGUAAUGCAUCGGAACGUGCCCAGUCGUGGGGGAUAACUACUCGAAAGAGUAGCUAAUAUCCCAUACGAUCUAUGGAUGAAAGCGGGGGACCGUAAGGCCUCGCGCGAUUGGAGCGGCCGAUGUCAGAUUAGGUAGUUGGUGGGGUAAAGGCUCACCAAGCCAACGAUCUGUAGCUGGUCUGAGAGGACAACCAGCCACACUGGGACUGAGACACGGCCCAGACUCCUACGGGAGGCAGCAGUGGGGAAUUUUGGACAAUGGGCGCAAGCCUGAUCCAGCAAUGCCGCGUGCAGGAAGAAGGCCUUCGGGUUGUAAACUGCUUUUGUACGGAACGAAACGGCUCUGGUUAAUACCCGGGGCUAAUGACGGUACCGGAAGAAUAAGCACCGGCUAACUACGUG